This 253-nucleotide ribosomal RNA is filed under the name uncultured bacterium. Its description in RNAcentral is "partial 16S ribosomal RNA". It matches the Rfam family "Bacterial small subunit ribosomal RNA", at positions 524 to 776 of the family's 1533-position model. The record is from RNAcentral.
UACGGAGGGUGCAAGCGUUAUCCGGAUUUACUGGGUUUAAAGGGUGUGUAGGCGGACUAUUAAGUCAGUGGUGAAAUCCCGAGGCUCAACCUCGGAACUGCCUUUGAUACUAUUAGUCUUGAAUGUUGUUGAGGUGGGCGGAACGGGUCAUGUAGCCGUGAAAUGCAUAGAUAUGACCCGGAACACCGAUUGCGAAGGCAGCCCGCUAAGCAACUAUUGACGCUGAGGCACGAAAGCGUGGGGAUCAAACAGG